Non-coding RNA from Myodes glareolus (Bank vole), 291 nucleotides. The record is from RefSeq and is a predicted model, not a curated record. NCBI's taxonomy places the organism in Eukaryota, Metazoa, Chordata, Mammalia, Rodentia, Cricetidae.
CCAAGUCCCCAGUACCGGGCAGGACUGACACCAGAGCUGGCUGCCAGCUGAGGCUGAGGUUCUGUGAGAUCCUGUCUCAGAGGAACAAGGCAAAGAGUGACAGAGCGGGAUACUAACAUCUUCUCUUGCGUCCACAAGCACACUGUCAGCAAACCAGAAGAGGAAACGGGAUCUUCAACCUGAUGAGGAGACUCUACAGCUGACAGCUGAUUUAACAGAGAAAGACUCACCAUUUCUGCAUAAAGGCUACAAAGACUCAAGAAUGUUUCACUUCACUGGAGUCCCAGAAAA